Molecule: ribosomal RNA, 462 nt
Filed under: uncultured bacterium
Lineage: Bacteria
Description: partial 16S ribosomal RNA
Rfam family: Bacterial small subunit ribosomal RNA
Source: RNAcentral
AACAAACGCUGGCGGCGUGCCUAAUACAUGCAAGUCGAACGGGGAAAGCUUUCGGGUGAGUACUAGUGGCGCACGGGUGAGGAACGCGUGGAUAAUCUGCCUUAGAGUGGGGGAUAACUAGUCGAAAGAUUAGCUAAUACCGCAUAAGACCACGAGAGCUGCGGCUUUUGAGGUCAAAGGUUUUUCGCUCUAAGAUGAGUCCGCGUAAGAUUAGCUAGUUGGUGAGGUAACGGCUCACCAAGGCGACGAUCUUUAACUGGUCUGAGAGGAUGAUCAGUCACACUGGAACUGAGACACGGUCCAGACUCCUACGGGAGGCAGCAGUAGGGAAUCUUGCACAAUGGAGGAAACUCUGAUGCAGCGACGCCGCGUGAGUGAUGAAGGCCUUCGGGUCGUAAAGCUCUGUCGCAGGGGAAUAACACAAUGAAGGUACCCUGUAAGAAAGGAUCGGCUAACUUCGUG